GCUUACGGCCAUACCACCCUGAGCGCGCCCGAUCUCGUCUGAUCUCGGAAGCUAAGCAGGGUCGGGCCUGGUUAGUACUUGGAUGGGAGACAGCCUGGGAAUACCAGGUGCUGUAAGCU
Cyprinus carpio carpio is the source of this 119-nucleotide ribosomal RNA. The record is from Ensembl. NCBI's taxonomy places the organism in Eukaryota, Metazoa, Chordata, Actinopteri, Cypriniformes, Cyprinidae.